AUCCAGCUGAUGAGUCUUAAACAAGAUGAAACGCACAUCCUAGAU
Schistosoma haematobium is the source of this 45-nucleotide non-coding RNA. NCBI's taxonomy places the organism in Eukaryota, Metazoa, Platyhelminthes, Trematoda, Strigeidida, Schistosomatidae. The record is from Rfam.